RNAcentral lists this ribosomal RNA (306 nucleotides) under uncultured Anoxybacillus sp. RNAcentral describes it as "bacterial SSU rRNA". It matches the Rfam family "Bacterial small subunit ribosomal RNA", at positions 1074 to 1382 of the family's 1533-position model. The record is from RNAcentral. Lineage: Bacteria; Bacillati; Bacillota; Bacilli; Caryophanales; Anoxybacillaceae.
GUGGUUAAGUCCGCAACGAGCGCAACCCUCGGACCUUAGUUGCCAGCAUUCAGUUGGGCACUCUAAGGUGGACUGCCGGCUAAAAGUCGGAGGAAGGUGGGGAUGACGUCAAAUCAUCAUGCCCCUUAUGACCUGGGCUACACACGUGCUACAAUGGGCGGUACAAAGGGUCGCGAACCCGCGAGGGGGAGCCAAUCCCAAAAAGCCGCUCUCAGUUCGGAUUGCAGGCUGCAACUCGCCUGCAUGAAGCCGGAAUCGCUAGUAAUCGCGGAUCAGCAUGCCGCGGUGAAUACGUUCCCGGGCCUU